Molecule: long non-coding RNA, 1314 nt
Filed under: Olea europaea (common olive)
Lineage: Eukaryota; Viridiplantae; Streptophyta; Magnoliopsida; Lamiales; Oleaceae
Description: long non-coding RNA (OEUR_LNC006731)
Source: RNAcentral
UCCAAUCCCUCCUUUCAUGGAGGUUUGUUUUCCUCCUUUCAUGGAAUGUAUCAUGCUUCAAUGACGAAGAUUUCUUUCUUGCUUCAAUGAUGAAGCGUUUCUUUCAUCUCAUUCAAUGAAUUCUAAUAUGGUAUUAGAGCAGGGUGCUUCCUGCUGUGUUUUUUUUUUGAGAUUUAAUUCAUCUCAUUUUCUGUGUUUCUGCUCAAGUGAAAGCAGAUUUGUGAUCUCUUCUAUUUUGGCAUUUUACUGGUAUCAAAGUUGAUAAAAUCUGAAGAUAACUUUGGCUUCAAAUCAUCCACCAGUUCAAGGCUUCUUCUUUAGUUCAAUACCAACGGCAUGGUCUGUUUUUGGUCUUUUAUAUUCUGGUGUUCCAGAUUCUUUAAUUCUGUGUUCUCACAAGCAGCUGGAACGUAUAUGCUUCUUGAAUUUGUUUCGUAUUUUCUACAUCAUCAAUAUUAGUUGCCUUUUUUAUUCCGACCGGUAUCAAUUGCUCUUCUUAUGACACCAUUUACUGCCUUGGAGUUCUGAUUCUUCCUGUGUCGUUUGUACCAUAUGAAUGUUUUGAAAUUUCAUUGAUUUGAGUAUGUAAAAUUGAACUGCUACUGAUAAAGCUGAUGCUACUAUGGACGAAGAAGAAGAUGGGGCUUUGGAUGAUUAUGCAUAAGUUUUGAUGUGCACACAAGGUGUUUGAAAAAAAUGUCCAGUAGAGAUCUUCUUUAGCAACUUCCCACCAAUCAGCUGAAGAAGGAAUGGAUUCCGGUUUGAGCUCAAAUUUAUGAUGUUCAGGCUCUUCAGAAUUCCUAUUGUCAUCACACUAAUCUUUGACAUUGUUUGCUCCCUUGUUUGCAUCUGUGAAGAAGUAGUCCAAAACUUGUUUUGCAUCCAAUCGUCAACAUGGAUCUUCCAAGUCCAUCUUGAGGGAGGUGUGUUAGAACAGAAUAUUCCUUCCAGCUCACCACAUUCUAGAGACUUUAAGAUAAGUUCAGUCGUCUGUUAUGUAGUUAGAUAGAUUGUUAGAUUUUACUCUAUAAAUACAGCACCAUGCAAGCAUUAAUAGAUUAUUGGAUUGUAGUGUCUUCCAAUCGCUCCUUCCAUGGAGGUUUCUCUCCUCCUUCAUGGAGUGUUUGCUUCCUCCUAUCAUGGAGUGUUCAUUUUCUCCUUUCAUGGAGUGUAAUACAUCUUCUCCUUCAUGGAGUUUAAUACAUUGUUUUGUCAUUCAAUAAAUUCUAAUAUGAAGCUGUGACUUUUUCAUGUGUUCAAAAAUGAAUUAAGGUAAGGUGGGUUGUGGUGUGGAAUCGGGUGGGUGGGUGGAGG